This 253-nucleotide ribosomal RNA is filed under the name uncultured bacterium. Its description in RNAcentral is "partial 16S ribosomal RNA". It matches the Rfam family "Bacterial small subunit ribosomal RNA", at positions 524 to 776 of the family's 1533-position model. The record is from RNAcentral.
UACAGAGGGGGCGAGCGUUAUUCGGAAUUAUUGGGCGUAAAGGGCGCGUAGGCGGCCUUUCAAGUGACGGGUGAAAUCCCUCGGCUUAACCGAGGAACUGCCUGUCAGACUGGAAGGCUUGAGACCGGGAGAGGUGAGUGGAAUUCCCAGUGUAGCGGUGAAAUGCGUAGAUAUUGGGAGGAACACCAGUGGCGAAGGCGGCUCACUGGACCGGUACUGACGCUGAGGCGCGAAAGCAUGGGGAGCGAACAGG